RNAcentral lists this ribosomal RNA (315 nucleotides) under Triticum aestivum (bread wheat). RNAcentral describes it as "partial small subunit ribosomal RNA". Lineage: Eukaryota; Viridiplantae; Streptophyta; Magnoliopsida; Poales; Poaceae. The record is from RNAcentral.
AAGCGCAAGAGCAAGCGUACGAAGGCGUACACGGCGGCCGAGGAGAAGCUUCUUUGCGAGUGUUGGCGAGACAUUGGACAAGACCCCAAGACGGGCGCUGAGCAAAAACAUUCAACCUUUUGGAUUCGUGUCCACCGAGAGUUUCAUGAGCGCAAAAAGUUUCCGCCGUACCAAUUUGUGAUCACGCGCGGGUGGGUCUCCAUUUCUAAGCGGUGGAGGGUGAUCCAACAAGAGUGCAACAAGUUUUGCGCCGCUCUUGAGAGCGUCAAGGCCCGCCCCGUGAGCGGCAUCGGCAUGCAAGACAUGGUAUGCUAG